AAACAGAGCCAGCAAGAAGAGGUAGCCCUGCAAACCUGACUUUUGUGGGGAAAAUUUGCAUGUGUAAGCAAUUUGCAUAAACUAAGCCAAGCCUUCCCUCCUUGGGUCCUAAGAAAGAGGAACUAAGAUUCUGACACCUUAAAGAUUGGAAAGCAACACUUACCAUCUAUUUUCUCUGAGGGCUGCUAACUGUGAGGGUUCUUCUACAUAACCAGACCACCCCUGCUAUCCAGGCCUCCUUUUCUCUCUCUCCCAUAACCUGUCUUGCCACUAUAACCUGUUUUACCACUAUAACCUGUUUGUGGCCAUUCCCUAAACCCACGUUUUUUCUGUAACCUCUGUGAUGCCCCCGUGUACACAUCAAUAAAGUUUCUAUGCCUUUGCUGCAAUCAAUCUGCCAUUGUGAGCUGAUUUUUUAGCGAACCUUCCGAGGGCAAAGGGGACACUUUCCCUUGGCUCCUACAGCUUGACGCUGUGAGCAGGCUCUGCUCUCCUGAAACCCACAGCCAAGUGAAUCCAGGUCCCGAUGAGCUAUCAAAAGGGAUCUUCACCAGGAGUAGAUUCCACUUCUCAAGAAACCACUUUAUUUGCUUAUCCAUAAGAAGUGACUCCUCAUCCAUUCAAGUUUGAUCAUGAGAUUGCAGCAAUUCAGUGACAUCUUCAGGCUCCACUUUUAAUUCUAAUCUCUUGCUGUUUUGCUACAUCUUCAGUUACUUUCUCCACAGAAGUCUUAAACUGCUCAAAGUCAUCCACAAGGGUUGAAAUCAACUUCUUCCAAACUCCUGUUAAUGUUAAUAUUUUGACCUCCUCCAAUGAAUCAUGAAUGUUCUUAAUGGCAUCUAAAAUGGUGAAUUCUUUCCAGAAGGUUUUCAAUUUACUUUGCUCAGAUCCAUCAGAGGAAUCACUAUCUAUGGUAGCUAUAUGUGUUUCUUAAAUAAUAAGAUUGAAAGUCAAAAUUACUGCUGAUCUAUGGGCCGCAGAAUCAUAUUGUGUUAGCAGGCAUGACAAUAACAUGAAUCCCCUUGUACAUCUCCAUAGAGCCCUUGCAUGACCAGGUGCAUUGUCAAUGAGCACUAAUACUUUGAAAGGAAUCUUUUUUUCUGAGCAGUAGUUCUCAACAGUAGGCUUAAAAUAUUCAGUAAACUAUGCUAUAAACAGAUGUGCUAUCAUAAAGGCUUUGUUGUUCCACUUACAGAGCGCAGGCAAAGUAGAUUUUGCAUAAUUCUCAAGGGCCCUAGGAUUUUUGGAAUGGUAAAUAAGCACUGGCUUCAACUUAAAGUCACCAGCUGCAUUAGCCCCUAAUGAAAGAGUCAGCCUGUCCUUUGAAGCUUUGAAGCCAGGCAUUGAUUCCUCUCUAGCUAUGAAAGACCUAGAUGGCAUCUUCUUCCAAUAUAAGGCUUUUUGGUCGAUGUUAAAAAUCUGUUAUUUAAUG
This 1432-nucleotide long non-coding RNA is filed under the name Homo sapiens (human). The record is from RNAcentral. Lineage: Eukaryota; Metazoa; Chordata; Mammalia; Primates; Hominidae.